AGAGUUUGAUCAUGGCUCAGGAUGAACGCUGGCGGCGUGCUUAACACAUGCAAGUCGAACGGAGUUUAGAUGAAACCUAGUGAUUCUAAACUUAGUGGCGGACGGGUGAGUAACGCGUGGGUAACCUGCCUUAUACCGGGGGACAACAGUUAGAAAUGACUGCUAAUACCGCAUAAGCGCACGAAGUCGCAUGACUUAGUGUGAAAAACUCCGGUGGUAUAAGAUGGACCCGCGUCUGAUUAGCCAGUUGGUGAGGUAACGGCCCACCAAAGCAACGAUCAGUAGCCGGCCUGAGAGGGUGAACGGCCACAUUGGGACUGAGACACGGCCCAAACUCCUACGGGAGGCAGCAGUGGGGAAUAUUGGACAAUGGGGGAAACCCUGAUCCAGCGACGCCGCGUGAGUGAAGAAGUAUUUCGGUAUGUAAAGCUCUAUCAGCAAGGAAGAUAAUGACGGUACUUGACUAAGAAGCCCCGGCUAACUACGUGCCAGCAGCCGC
Molecule: ribosomal RNA, 499 nt
Filed under: uncultured bacterium
Lineage: Bacteria
Description: bacterial SSU rRNA
Rfam family: Bacterial small subunit ribosomal RNA
Source: RNAcentral